RNAcentral lists this ribosomal RNA (460 nucleotides) under uncultured bacterium. RNAcentral's name for it is "partial 16S ribosomal RNA". It matches the Rfam family "Bacterial small subunit ribosomal RNA", at positions 338 to 795 of the family's 1533-position model. The record is from RNAcentral.
CCUACGGGAGGCAGCAGUGAGGAAUAUUGGUCAAUGGACGAGAGUCUGAACCAGCCAAGUAGCGUGAAGGAUGACUGCCCUAUGGGUUGUAAACUUCUUUUAUAUGGGAAUAAAAUGUUCCACGUGUGGGAUUUUGUAUGUACCAUAUGAAUAAGGAUCGGCUAACUCCGUGCCAGCAGCCGCGGUAAUACGGAGGAUCCGAGCGUUAUCCGGAUUUAUUGGGUUUAAAGGGAGCGUAGGUGGAUUGUUAAGUCAGUUGUGAAAGUUUGCGGCUCAACCGUAAAAUUGCAGUUGAAACUGGCAGUCUUGAGUACGGUAGAGGUGGGCGGAAUGCGUGGUGUAGCGGUGAAAUGCUUAGAUAUCACGAAGAACUCCGAUUGCGAAGGCAGUUCACUGGACUGCAACUGACACUGAGGCUCGAAAGUGUGGGUAUCAAACAGGAUUAGAUACCCGAGUAGUC